This 433-nucleotide ribosomal RNA is filed under the name uncultured bacterium. RNAcentral's name for it is "partial 16S ribosomal RNA". It matches the Rfam family "Bacterial small subunit ribosomal RNA", at positions 29 to 507 of the family's 1533-position model. The record is from RNAcentral.
AGCGAACGCUGGCGGCAGGCCUAACACAUGCAAGUCGAACGGAUCCUUCGGGAUUAGUGGCGGACGGGUGAGUAACACGUGGGAACGUGCCCUUUGGUUCGGAACAACUCAGGGAAACUUGAGCUAAUACCGGAUGUGCCCUUCGGGGGAAAGAUUUAUCGCCAUUGGAGCGGCCCGCGUCUGAUUAGCUAGUUGGUGAGGUAACGGCCCACCAAGGCGACGAUCAGUAGCUGGUCUGAGAGGAUGGUCAGCCACACUGGGACUGAGACACGGCCCAGACUCCUACGGGAGGCAGCAGUGGGGAAUCUUGCGCAAUGGGCGAAAGCCUGACGCAGCCAUGCCGCGUGAAUGAUGAAGGUCUUAGGAUUGUAAAAUUCUUUCAGCGGGGACGAUAAUGACGGUACCCGCAGAAGAAGCUCCGGCUAACUUCGUG